RNAcentral lists this non-coding RNA (29 nucleotides) under Homo sapiens (human). The record is from RNAcentral. Lineage: Eukaryota; Metazoa; Chordata; Mammalia; Primates; Hominidae.
UGAUGUAGGACUCAAGUGACUACCAGUCC